UGGAGAUGCAGGGAAUCGAACCCUGUACCUCCCGCAUGCAAAGCGGGCGCUCUACCAUUUGAGCUACAUCCCC
This 73-nucleotide transfer RNA is filed under the name Cajanus cajan (pigeon pea). Its description in RNAcentral is "tRNA gene-KK1_032314". The record is from RNAcentral. Lineage: Eukaryota; Viridiplantae; Streptophyta; Magnoliopsida; Fabales; Fabaceae.